Long non-coding RNA from Drosophila nasuta, 1061 nucleotides. RefSeq lists it as uncharacterized. The transcript has 4 exons. The record is from RefSeq and is a predicted model, not a curated record. NCBI's taxonomy places the organism in Eukaryota, Metazoa, Arthropoda, Insecta, Diptera, Drosophilidae.
CUGUGCAUUUUUCCUCAGUUAGUUGGCUAAACUCAUCGGGAGCACAGCUAAACUGAAACAAAAUUGUCAGUGUUUUCUUUUUUCUUAAUAUAUUUUUCGGAUUUCAUAUUUUUUCUCAGUUUUCUUCUUUUCUUUAAUUAUCGAAUAUUUUUCAAAAAAUGUUCCCGAUCGAUAUGCAAACUAUUUUAUUGAAAGAAUAAAAAAAAUUUAUUUAAGCUGUAGCUGGUACCAAAAUGUAGAAGGCUGAGGAUUCUUCUUUUUCUUCACUUUGAAAGUAUUUCUGAAACAACAAUCUUGCGCCCUUCUUUGAUUUCUACAUUUCUAAUCUGGAUGGUACCAUGAAAUGCAACAUGUGAUUGGCAUCCUUAAAAACCCCAACGAAUUAAUAUUUUACUUAUUUGGAACAUUGUGGAUUUUCAUUCUUCUUUUAGGUCGAUACACUUAUUCCAGCGAUUUUCUAACUUUUUGAUCCCAUCUGAAAAGUAAUUCUCCGGAAGGUCUGUAAAUACUCCUCUGCAGCAUCGAUGAUUUCCCUCCUAGCUCGCGGAUUUUCACUUUCCGGUCAGCCAAUACCAUUUCAUGUAUUUUUUUGGACAUUUUCCUGUGUAACCGCAUCGGAGGGCCUGCCACUAAGGACUUCAUCGGUAGUGAAGGUUCGGCCACCAAGAAACUCUCGAAACCAAUAUUUCACGGUGUAAUCUGAAGGAGCAUGAGCCGCAUAGUAUUUAUCCAACUUUUGUUUAGUUUCCGUCGCUGUUUUGCCUCUCAACAAAUAAUGUUUUAUGAGGAAACGAAAAUCGUUUUUUUCCAUGGUCAACAUGAUGUCAAACACGUCAACAACAAAACGUAAGAGCUGUAUCGCGCUGAAUUUCAACAUGGUCACCUAAAUAUGAAUGGACUAUAAGGAGCGACAAUAAUUUUUGCGAUAGCAGCGCAUCUAGUAUACACAUUUCUUUUUAUUUCGUAGUUAUCACAAUUAUUUUUAUCAUUCUGCGGAUGACACACAUUCAUUUUGUAUACCAAAUAUUUCGACAUCUUUAUAAUAUAUUAUUUUAUAUGAA